Long non-coding RNA from Anguilla rostrata (American eel), 1086 nucleotides. RefSeq lists it as uncharacterized. The transcript is spliced from 2 exons. Lineage: Eukaryota; Metazoa; Chordata; Actinopteri; Anguilliformes; Anguillidae. The record is from RefSeq and is a predicted model, not a curated record.
ACAACGCACGAGACACCUUUUAGUCACGUUUUAAUUACGACUGCUAACAUAUCGAUUUUGUAGAUGUGACCGUAAAAUAUGGUUCCUUAUCCCAGUUUGAUUAUAGAUCCCGUGACUCCGGGGGGCCUAAUAUUUUGGCAGACCUACGCUCCUCCUUCCUUGAUUAACUGCAGGUUAGAAAGUUGUGCUUUCAGCUUCAAAGCGUAGGUGUUUCUCAGAGUAUGAGGUUUUUCUUAAUUGGAAAGCAAUUAUGAAUACAUUAAUCCAACCUUUCAUUACUUAGCGGAGGUACUCUGAUCGUUAAUUAAAAAAUAACACAGAACCGCGCUGUCGCUAAGCUGCUCAGAAAUGCUAGCCGCUUAUUUAUAUUUUUAUUGAAGAACACGAAAUUGGCACGCCAGGGAUACUACUAAGGGUGUACAUCUUCUCCGAAAGGAGCGAAAGGAUAGCACUCAUGUUCAAAGAACUGUUUCACUCCGUUGGCGUAAAUGUUUUCUGACAGGACGAGCCCCCAGCGGCAUUGUGGGAACCUGAGGCGAUCGUGGACACGACGGCUUGAACACCGGCGAUGUCGAGAGAGAUACGGGUAAUGGCAGCCCGACGAGUUAGCGGCGGACAAUGGGGAGAACGAAAGCAGAAGAACGGGUUCUCUCUCCGUUAAAAGGACAGCACAAUGGGCUGUGCUCCCGUAGCCGACGCCCACCGUGCGCCGAUCGGUCACUUCUGACGCUCAAGGACUCUGGCGUCGCUAAUCACAAAGCCAAUCUCAUCCCCGCUUUAAAAAUAGCCUCCCGAAACACUGACACUUCAUUUUCCAAAGUCACAGAUGCGCUGAAGUAUCGAUCUUAUCCUCUCCAUUAACAAAUGAGCGCUGGACGGUCGUCAUUACUGGAGGAAAAUAAGAAUCUCAGGCUUUUUUUUACGCUAAACAGAAAUCAGUCUUAUUGCUGUAUAUUGUUCAUCGACAGCUAUAUUGCAGUUGCUAGAUUUUGUGCAAGUUUGACUCUUAAUGUACUCUUAGACUCUUAGAAAACAGUAUAUACGGCUAAGAAUGUUAAUAAAUCAUGACAAUGUGAUAAAUCUCAC